CGGGACGGGUGAGUAAUGUCUGGGAAACUGCCUGAUGGAGGGGGAUAACUACUGGAAACGGUAGCUAAUACCGCAUAACGUCGCAAGACCAAAGAGGGGGGACCUUAGGGCCUCUUGCCAUCGGAUGUGCCCAGAUGGGAUUAGCUAGUAGGUGGGGUAACGGCUCACCUAGGCGACGAUCCCUAGCUGGUCUGAGAGGAUGACCAGCCACACUGGAGCUGAGACACGGUCCAG
Molecule: ribosomal RNA, 234 nt
Filed under: uncultured bacterium
Lineage: Bacteria
Description: partial 16S ribosomal RNA
Rfam family: Bacterial small subunit ribosomal RNA
Source: RNAcentral